This 303-nucleotide ribosomal RNA is filed under the name uncultured bacterium. RNAcentral's name for it is "partial 16S ribosomal RNA". It matches the Rfam family "Bacterial small subunit ribosomal RNA", at positions 507 to 807 of the family's 1533-position model. The record is from RNAcentral.
AGCAGUCGCCGCGGGAAUACAGAGGGUGCGAGCGUUAAUCGGAUUUACUGGGCGUAAAGCGUGCGUAGGCGGCUAAUUGAGUCGGAUGUGAAAUCCCCGAGCUUAACUUGGGAAUUGCAUUCGAUACUGGUUAGCUAGAGUGUGGGAGAGGAUGGUAGAAUUCCAGGUGUAGCGGUGAAAUGCGUAGAGAUCUGGAGGAAUACCGAUGGCGAAGGCAGCCAUCUGGCCUAACACUGACGCUGAGGUACGAAAGCAUGGGGAGCAAACAGGAUUAGAUACCCGAGUAGUCCCUGUCUCUUAUAC